Molecule: ribosomal RNA, 1369 nt
Filed under: uncultured bacterium
Lineage: Bacteria
Description: bacterial SSU rRNA
Rfam family: Bacterial small subunit ribosomal RNA
Source: RNAcentral
AGAGUUUCAUCCUGGCUCAGGACGAACGCUGGCGGCGCGCCUAACACAUGCAAGUCGAACGAGCGAGAGAGAGCUUGCUUUCUCAAGCGAGUGGCGAACGGGUGAGUAACGCGUGAGGAACCUGCCUCAAAGAGGGGGACAACAGUUGGAAACGACUGCUAAUACCGCAUAAGCCCACAGCUCGGCAUCGAGCAGAGGGAAAAGGAGCAAUCCGCUUUGAGAUGGCCUCGCGUCCGAUUAGCUAGUUGGUGAGGUAAUGGCCCACCAAGGCGACGAUCGGUAGCCGGACUGAGAGGUUGAACGGCCACAUUGGGACUGAGACACGGCCCAGACUCCUACGGGAGGCAGCAGUGGGGAAUAUUGCACAAUGGGGGAAACCCUGAUGCAGCGACGCCGCGUGGAGGAAGAAGGUCUUCGGAUUGUAAACUCCUGUUGUUGAGGAAGAUAAUGACGGUACUCAACAAGGAAGUGACGGCUAACUACGUGCCAGCAGCCGCGGUAAAACGUAGGUCACAAGCGUUGUCCGGAAUUACUGGGUGUAAAGGGAGCGCAGGCGGGAAGACAAGUUGGAAGUGAAAUCUAUGGGCUCAACCCAUAAACUGCUUUCAAAACUGUUUUUCUUGAGUAGUGCAGAGGUAGGCGGAAUUCCCGGUGUAGCGGUGGAAUGCGUAGAUAUCGGGAGGAACACCAGUGGCGAAGGCGGCCUACUGGGCACCAACUGACGCUGAGGCUCGAAAGUGUGGGUAGCAAACAGGAUUAGAUACCCUGGUAGUCCACACCGUAAACGAUGAUUACUAGGUGUUGGAGGAUUGACCCCUUCAGUGCCGCAGUUAACACAAUAAGUAAUCCACCUGGGGAGUACGACCGCAAGGUUGAAACUCAAAGGAAUUGACGGGGGCCCGCACAAGCAGUGGAGUAUGUGGUUUAAUUCGACGCAACGCGAAGAACCUUACCAAGUCUUGACAUCCCUUGACGAACAUAGAAAUAUGUUUUCUCUUCGGAGCAAGGAGACAGGUGGUGCAUGGUUGUCGUCAGCUCGUGUCGUGAGAUGUUGGGUUAAGUCCCGCAACGAGCGCAACCCUUACUGUCAGUUACUACGCAAGAGGACUCUGGCAGGACUGCCGUUGACAAAACGGAGGAAGGUGGGGAUGACGUCAAAUCAUCAUGCCCUUUAUGACUUGGGCUACACACGUACUACAAUGGCGUUAAACAAAGAGAAGCAAGACCGCGAGGUGGAGCAAAACUCAGAAACAACGUCCCAGUUCGGACUGCAGGCUGCAACUCGCCUGCACGAAGUCGGAAUUGCUAGUAAUCGUGGAUCAGCAUGCCACGGUGAAUACGUUCCCGGGCCUUGUACACACCGCCCGUC